Molecule: long non-coding RNA, 1231 nt
Organism: Labrus mixtus (cuckoo wrasse)
Lineage: Eukaryota; Metazoa; Chordata; Actinopteri; Labriformes; Labridae
Exons: 3
Source: RefSeq, a predicted model, not a curated record
GGCGGCGUGACGGCGCCAUAUUGGCUCCUCCUCAACCGCAGUUUCCUGCAGACUGUUUCAAUGGAGACCUCAACACGGAAGCGUAUGAAUGAAGAAUGUUAGUAAAUAUUGACAAAUCUCAGCUGAAAAGGAAUUAGACACAACUCCAAAAAGGGGAAACAAGGAGCCACGAGGAAGAAUAACACAAACGCCUGUCUGCAUGGACGCACAGCCAGAGUGAGUAAUUGUGUUUUCUCCUCCCACCUCUCCUCCGCAGAGAAACAAUCCAUUAAAAUUGUGUCCAUUUCACUCCUGCAUCGUGUCUUUCUGCUCACCUGUCUGGGGACGAACACCGCGGGGCAGAGCAGACUGAGCAAACACCAAAAGGGGCCAUUAUUAUUAUUAUUUUUUUUUUUCUUUCAAAUCAGCAUCUUCAUGUCGAGAGACACUUCCAAGAAACACACACAUGAUGAAAAAUGUAACAGAGCAGUGUGAGCUCUUCUCCUUUUCCUCGGAUCCAGCCCACCUGUGUGUCAGAGACAGAGUAUAAGGUUAGCCCUCCCCCCCCCCCCUGCCCGGCGAUCAGCGCCCACACGGCAGGUGUCCAGUGGAGCGUGUGAACGGGGUCACGGCUGGGAGCGGGAGGACGGAGAGUGGGAGCUGCCGUCCAUGAAUGGAGGAGAGGGAGAGCGAGUCCCGAGGCCGCCUGCUCUGCAUUAACCAUAUCUGAGGGUGUGUAAUGUAGUCUGCCUGCCCUCUCUGCUGUUUGUUUUCUUCUGCAGACGCUUUAAGGGGCCGAACACAGCGAGACGAUUUAUGCUCUGCUGAAGGCUGCAGUGUUUCUCUUUGCAGCUGUGUGUGCUCUGAAUAAACUGAGCAAUGCCACUUCUCUGGUUUUAUUGCAUUUCUCUACUCUCGUCUAAUGUUUUUUUUUUUUUUUUUUAAAUACCAGCAGAAGGAGAAAGUAAUGGUCUGAUCAAUAUAUUUCUGUUUGCUGUAAUGAUCGUUCUGUUUCCUGCUGCAUGAGUCAGUGAAGAGCAAAUGCAUCAUCAGAGCGGCUCCCCUUCUGUGCGGAUGUUAAUAUUCGUCUGUUAUCAGAGUCUCAGGUCGAGGAGCUCCUAGAUAUUCACAUUUGCACAAAUACAUUUCCACCACUUGAAUUUAAUUAACACGGUAAUGGAUGCUCUCACCUUCUGCACACAGGUGUGGAUAUAAAUGUUCAAUUGUGUUUGUAAUUGAGUGAAAAUGAAGC